Molecule: non-coding RNA, 359 nt
Organism: Anaerolineaceae bacterium 4572_32.2
Lineage: Bacteria; Bacillati; Chloroflexota; Anaerolineae; Anaerolineales; Anaerolineaceae
Source: Rfam
CAAGUCAGCCAGACGGUCGCGGCCUGCGCAAUGCGCAGGUCGAGGAAAGUCCGGGCUCCACAGGGCACGGUGCUGGAUAACGUCCAGAUCGGGGCGACCCGAUGGAAAAGGGCCACAGAAAAGCAGACCGCCAGGUUGGUAAACCAACCUGGUAAGGGUGAAAAGGUGGUGUAAGAGACCACCGGCGUUCGUGGCGACACGGGCGGCCAGGCAACCCCCACCAGGAGCAAGGCCAAGCAGAGGCAAGGGACGGCCCGUCCCGUUCGAGUCUCGGGUAGGCCGCGUGAGGCGGCAGGUAACCGCCGUCCCAGAUAGAUGACCGUCCGCGACAGAACCCGGCUUAUCGGCUGGCUUGGGCG